This 253-nucleotide ribosomal RNA is filed under the name uncultured bacterium. Its description in RNAcentral is "partial 16S ribosomal RNA". It matches the Rfam family "Bacterial small subunit ribosomal RNA", at positions 524 to 776 of the family's 1533-position model. The record is from RNAcentral.
UACGUAGGGUGCGAGCGUUGUCCGGAAUUAUUGGGCGUAAAGAGCUUGUAGGCGGUAUGUCGCGUCUGCUGUGAAAAUCCGGGGCUCAACCCCGGACUUGCAGUGGGUACGGGCAGACUAGAGUGUGGUAGGGGAGACUGGAAUUCCUGGUGUAGCGGUGAAAUGCGUAGAUAUCGGUAGGAACACCAUUGGCGAAGGCGGUCUCCUGGGGCAUUCUUGACGCUGAGGCGCGAAAGCUGGGGGAGCGAACGGG